This 798-nucleotide ribosomal RNA is filed under the name uncultured Porphyromonadaceae bacterium. Its description in RNAcentral is "bacterial SSU rRNA". It matches the Rfam family "Bacterial small subunit ribosomal RNA", at positions 8 to 795 of the family's 1533-position model. Lineage: Bacteria; Pseudomonadati; Bacteroidota; Bacteroidia; Bacteroidales; Porphyromonadaceae. The record is from RNAcentral.
AGAGUUUGAUUCUGGCUCAGGAUGAACGCUAGCGAUAGGCCUAACACAUGCAAGUCGAGGGGCAGCACAUGAAGUAGCAAUACGGAUGGUGGCGACCGGCGCACGGGUGAGUAACGCGUAUGCAACCUGCCUACAACAGGGGAAUAACCCGUUGAAAGACGGACUAAUACCCCAUAACACAGGGAUCCCGCAUGGGAAUAUUUGUUAAAGAUUUAUCGGUUGUAGAUGGGCAUGCGUUCCAUUAGCUUGUUGGUGAGGUAACGGCUCACCAAGGCAACGAUGGAUAGGGGAACUGAGAGGUUUAUCCCCCACACUGGUACUGAGACACGGACCAGACUCCUACGGGAGGCAGCAGUGAGGAAUAUUGGUCAAUGGACGCAAGUCUGAACCAGCCACGUCGCGUGAAGGAAGACGGCCCUACGGGUUGUAAACUUCUUUUGUAAGGGAAUAAAGUGUAGUACGUGUACUAUUUUGCAUGUACCUUACGAAUAAGGAUCGGCUAACUCCGUGCCAGCAGCCGCGGUAAUACGGAGGAUCCGAGCGUUAUCCGGAUUUAUUGGGUUUAAAGGGUGCGCAGGCGGGAGAUUAAGUCGGCGGUGAAAUUUUGCAGCUCAACUGUAAAAGUGCCCUCGAAACUGGUUUCCUUGAGUGUGGAUGAAGUAGGCGGAAUUUGUGGUGUAGCGGUGAAAUGCAUAGAUAUCACGAGGAACUCCGAUUGCGCAGGCAGCUUACUAAACCAUAACUGACGCUCAGGCACGAAGGCGUGGGGAUCAAACAGGAUUAGAUACCCUGGUAGUC